GUGAUUGUUUGGAAUAUUUAAAUGUGCUGUCCAUCACCUUGCGAAGUUACAAUGCUCUCCAAAGACUUUUGAGCUCCGUUAAGUUACAGAGUUGUACUCAAUCUCUAUUCCUUAACGGUUUUUAUGAGUCAACGUCGUUCAAUAUUGCAGCUCUUGCAACUCUCAAGCAUCUUUUUCAACUAGAAAUUAGUGAAUGGGACGGCUCUGAUAUGGUGAAGGUAGGGAAUGUACAAAAAAUACGGGAACCAUCUAGUUUCUACAAUCUUCACGAUAUAAGACUAUCAAAUUGCAACUGUUUGAGGGAUUUGACAUGGAUUGCUUUUAUUCCAAACCUCAAGUUUCUUUCUAUAGACAGUUGUGAUGCGAUGAAAGAAAUCAUCAAUGUUGAAAAAUUGGGUGAAGUUCCAGGGAUGAUGUCAGAUCUAAUCCCUUUUCAGAAACUCCAAUUUCUUGUGUUAAAUUGUUUGAAGAAUUUGAAGAGCAUCUUUGCGAAGGCCUUGCCCUUCCCACAUCUCAAGGAAAUUUAUGUAUUUUACUGCCCAAUGCUUAUGAAGCUUCCAUUGGAUGCCAAUAGUGCAAAGGAACAUAAAAUUGUUAUCAAGGGAGAGGAAAAGUGGUGGAAAAAUUUGCAAUGGGAGGAUGAAGCCACUCUGAAUGCUUUUCUUCCUUGUUUCUUUCUGAUAGAUCAAUAACAAUCGUGAAUUUAUAAGGCACUGCAAAAUGCUGUUGAAUGUGGCAUUAGAAGCUCUACUUUGUGGUGCAAACCUGUGGAAGUACAACUAGUAGCCUUUCUUUCAAUGGACGUUCAAAACGAGGCCAUUCAAAAUGAUCAGCUUGAUAAGAGGAAUGCAUGUUGUAUCACAUUUAACCGCCGAGAGGCAAAGCUUGAUACAGCUUUUGGACAGUAUUUGCAUUUUUAUGUGAGUGCUACAGAAGACAAUGCAUGCAGCCUUUUGAAGGUCAAGGAUUCCAACCUCCUGGAUCAACUUUAGUGAUACAUUCUGCUUUACCAUCAGUAGUCAGAUUAAUCUUGACAGCAUGUACUCUAAAGUCUGUGUUGUAAAGAUUUUGUAAGGAACUAAUUCAAUUCUUCCUUUCUGUGCCCAAUAAACCAUCAAUUAUUCCAGAGGAGCUAUUUAUACUACACCACCAAGUUUGAUAUUCAAAAUGGGAUUGUGUUCCAGAGGAGCUAGUUUUAGCUGUGGCACAACACAAGUGACCAGAUUUUGCACUUUUACUUGCCUGAUUGGGUUUUUUAGUUAGCUUCUUC
Long non-coding RNA from Pistacia vera, 1270 nucleotides. RefSeq lists it as uncharacterized. NCBI's taxonomy places the organism in Eukaryota, Viridiplantae, Streptophyta, Magnoliopsida, Sapindales, Anacardiaceae. The transcript has 3 exons. The record is from RefSeq and is a predicted model, not a curated record.